This 497-nucleotide ribosomal RNA is filed under the name uncultured bacterium. RNAcentral's name for it is "partial 16S ribosomal RNA". It matches the Rfam family "Bacterial small subunit ribosomal RNA", at positions 28 to 507 of the family's 1533-position model. The record is from RNAcentral.
GAUGAACGCUGGCGGCGUGCCUAAUACAUGCAAGUCGAGCGAACAGACGAGGAGCUUGCUCCUCUGACGUUAGCGGCGGACGGGUGAGUAACACGUGGAUAACCUACCUAUAAGACUGGGAUAACUUCGGGAAACCGGAGCUAAUACCGGAUAAUAUAUUGAACCGCAUGGUUCAAUAGUGAAAGACGGUUUUGCUGUCACUUAUAGAUGGAUCCGCGCCGCAUUAGCUAGUUGGUAAGGUAACGGCUUACCAAGGCAACGAUGCGUAGCCGACCUGAGAGGGGGGUCGGCCAACCUGGAACUGAGAAACCGUCCCGAACCCCAAGGGAGGCAGCAGUAGGGAAUUUUCCGGAAUGGGCGAAAGCCUGACGGAGGAACCGCGGGGGAGGGAAGAAGGGUUUUGGAUUGGAAAAACCUUUUUUUAGGGAAAAAAAAAUUGGUAAGGAAAUUUGCCCCGUUUGAAGGGAACCUAUUCGAAAGCCCAGGCCAAACAAGUG